Molecule: ribosomal RNA, 468 nt
Filed under: uncultured bacterium
Lineage: Bacteria
Description: partial 16S ribosomal RNA
Rfam family: Bacterial small subunit ribosomal RNA
Source: RNAcentral
GACGAACGCUGGCGGCGUGCUUAACACAUGCAAGUCGAACGGAAAGGCCCUGCUUUUGUGGGGUGCUCGAGUGGCGAACGGGUGAGUAACACGUGAGUAACCUGCCCUUGACUUUGGGAUAACUUCAGGAAACUGGGGCUAAUACCGGAUAGGAGCUCCUGCGGCAUGGUGGGGGUUGGAAAGUUUCGGCGGUUGGGGAUGGACUCGCGGCUUAUCAGCUUGUUGGUGGGGUAGUGGCUUACCAAGGCUUUGACGGGUAGCCGGCCUGAGAGGGUGACCGGCCCCAUUGGGACUGAGAUACGGCCCAGACUCCUACGGGAGGCAGCAGUGGGGAAUAUUGCACAAUGGGCGGAAGCCUGAUGCAGAAACGCCGCGUGCGGGAUGACGGCCUUCGGGUUGUAAACCGCUUUCGCCUGUGACGAAGCGUGAGUGACGGUAAUGGGUAAAGAAGCACCGGCUAACUACGUG